GUUUCCGUAGUUUAGCGGUUAUCACGUUCGCCUAACACGCGCAAGGUCCCCAGUUCAAUCCCGGGCGGAAACA
Molecule: transfer RNA, 73 nt
Filed under: Dendronephthya gigantea
Lineage: Eukaryota; Metazoa; Cnidaria; Anthozoa; Malacalcyonacea; Nephtheidae
Description: tRNA-Val
Rfam family: tRNA
About the family: Transfer RNA (tRNA) molecules are approximately 80 nucleotides in length. Their secondary structure includes four short double-helical elements and three loops (D, anti-codon, and T loops).
Source: RNAcentral